RNAcentral lists this ribosomal RNA (207 nucleotides) under uncultured bacterium. Its description in RNAcentral is "partial 16S ribosomal RNA". It matches the Rfam family "Bacterial small subunit ribosomal RNA", at positions 568 to 774 of the family's 1533-position model. The record is from RNAcentral.
CGUGUAGGCGGAGGUGCAAGUUGGGAGUGAAAUCCCGGGGCUCAACCCCGGAACUGCUUUCAAAACUGCAUCCCUUGAGUGUCGGAGAGGCAAGCGGAAUUCCUAGUGUAGCGGUGAAAUGCGUAGAUAUUAGGAGGAACACCAGUGGCGAAGGCGGCUUGCUGGACGAUAACUGACGCUGAGGCGCGAAAGCGUGGGGAGCAAACA